Molecule: ribosomal RNA, 301 nt
Filed under: uncultured bacterium
Lineage: Bacteria
Description: partial 16S ribosomal RNA
Rfam family: Bacterial small subunit ribosomal RNA
Source: RNAcentral
CAGUCGCCACGGUAAUACGGAGGGUGCAAGCGUUAUCCGGAUUCACUGGGUUUAAAGGGUGCGUAGGCGGAUCUGUAAGUCCGUGGUGAAAUCUCCAGGCUUAACCUGGAAACUGCCAUGGAUACUAUAGAUCUUGAAUGUUGUGGAGGUUAGCGGAAUAUGUCAUGUAGCGGUGAAAUGCAUAGAUAUGACAUAGAACACCAAUUGCGAAGGCAGCUGGCUACACAAAUAUUGACGCUGAGGCACGAAAGCGUGGGGAUCAAACAGGAUUAGAUACCCCUGUAGUCCCUGUCUCUUAUAC